This 253-nucleotide ribosomal RNA is filed under the name uncultured bacterium. Its description in RNAcentral is "partial 16S ribosomal RNA". It matches the Rfam family "Bacterial small subunit ribosomal RNA", at positions 524 to 776 of the family's 1533-position model. The record is from RNAcentral.
CACGUAGGGCGCGAGCGUUGUCCGGAAUUAUUGGGCGUAAAGAGCUCGUAGGCGGCCUGUUGCGUCCGCUGUGAAAGCCGGGGGCUUAACCCCGGGUCGGCAGUGGAUACGGGCAGGCUGGAGGUAGGUAGGGGAGAAUGGAAUUCCCGGUGUAGCGGUGAAAUGCGCAGAUAUCGGGAGGAACACCGGUGGCGAAGGCGGUUCUCUGGGCCUUACCUGACGCUGAGGAGCGAAAGCGUGGGGAGCGAACAGG